Molecule: ribosomal RNA, 253 nt
Filed under: uncultured bacterium
Lineage: Bacteria
Description: partial 16S ribosomal RNA
Rfam family: Bacterial small subunit ribosomal RNA
Source: RNAcentral
UACGAAGGGGGCUAGCGUUGCUCGGAAUCACUGGGCGUAAAGCGCACGUAGGCGGCUUGCUAAGUCAGGGGUGAAAUCCUGGAGCUCAACUCCAGAACUGCCUUUGAUACUGGCGAUCUUGAGUCCGGGAGAGGUGAGUGGAACUGCAAGUGUAGAGGUGAAAUUCGUAGAUAUUCGCAAGAACACCAGUGGCGAAGGCGGCUCACUGGCCCGGUACUGACGCUGAGGUGCGAAAGCGUGGGGAGCAAACAGG